UCGGGAAUUUUGGGCAAUGGGGGAAACCCUGACCCAGCAACGCCGCGUGAAGGAUGAAGUAUUUCGGUAUGUAAACUUCGAAAGAAUAGGAAGAAUAAAUGACGGUACUAUUUAUAAGGUCCGGCUAACUACGUGCCAGCAGCCGCGGUAAUACGUAGGGACCAAGCGUUGUUCGGAUUUACUGGGCGUAAAGGGCGCGUAGGCGGCAUGACAAGUCACUUGUGAAAUCUCUGGGCUUAACCCAGAACGGCCAAGUGAUACUGUCGCGCUAGAGUGCAGAAGGGGCAAUCGGAAUUCUUGGUGUAGCGGUGAAAUGCGUAGAUAUCAAGAGGGACACCUGAGGUGAAGACGGGUUGCUGGGCUGACACUGACGCUGAGGCGCGAAAGCCAGGGGAGCAAACGGGAUUAGAUACCCGGGUAGUCCCUGAGCGGGCUGGCAAGGCGCAU
Molecule: ribosomal RNA, 447 nt
Filed under: uncultured bacterium
Lineage: Bacteria
Description: bacterial SSU rRNA
Rfam family: Bacterial small subunit ribosomal RNA
Source: RNAcentral